This 55-nucleotide ribosomal RNA is filed under the name uncultured bacterium. RNAcentral describes it as "partial 16S ribosomal RNA". The record is from RNAcentral.
AAGCCUGAUCCAGCACGCCGCGUGGAGGGAGACGGCUUCUGGUGUAAAGCUCUGU